AUACGGAGGAUCCGAGCGUUAUCCGGAUUUUUUGGGUUUAAAGGGUGCGCAGGCGGCCAUUUAAGUCAGCGGUUAAAUCGUGGGGCUCAACCCCAUUCUGCCGUUGAUACUGGGUGGCUUGAUUGCGGUCGAGGUUGGCGGAAUUCGUUGUGUAGCGGUGAAAUGCAUAGAUAUGACGAAGAACACCGAUUGCGUAGGCAGCUGACCAGACCGCAAAUGACGCUCAUGCACGAAAGUGCGGGGAUCGAACAGGAUUAGAUACCCUGGUAGUCCGCACAGUAAACGAUGAAUACUUGUUUUCGGCGAUAUAAUGUCGGAGGCAAAGCGAAAGCGAUAAGUAUUCCACCUGGGGAGUACGCCGGCAACGGUGAAACUCAAAGGAAUUGACGGGG
This 392-nucleotide ribosomal RNA is filed under the name uncultured bacterium. RNAcentral's name for it is "partial 16S ribosomal RNA". It matches the Rfam family "Bacterial small subunit ribosomal RNA", at positions 523 to 918 of the family's 1533-position model. The record is from RNAcentral.